ACCCUUAAUAUGCUCACCUCUUUUUCCCUCCCUCAGCACUCACUCCCUUCCAUCCUUAGCCUUGCCGCGCACCUCUCAACACCUUACUCCUCUCUCUUAUCCCUCCUCUCUCUCCUCUUCCUUCCCCUCCUCCGCCUUCUCCACAUCAUACAGACGACCCACUCCUCCCUCCAUCGCUUCCCCCUCCCCCAUCACUGGCGCCGCGUGUAUCAGUCUCAGUUUACAGUUUACUCGUAGGUGCAGUGGGUGCCUCGCCGUGUUACGAGUGAUGUGCUGGCCAGAGUUUGGGGAGUCUGAGCGGGCGUGGCGGGGGUGGGCGGCUCUGAGGGGGCGUGUGGAAGUGGCUGUCAAACGCGGCGCCGCUGAGGCCCCGCCCCGCCCCGCUACGCCACGCCCCGGCCCAGCCACUCAGCAUGCAGACCGGCAACCGAGCAGACGGCGUGGAAGGCGACAUGAUGAUGGCGCUACUCAAUGAAGAAGCGUUAGCGAGGUGCAAGUGGAGGCCGCGGCUUCUCUUGGUGCUCGAGACGGCAGCGAGGCGUCGGCUUAGUUGGAUUAAUACGUUGUUGGCAAGUUGAUGAGAAAUACUGCGUUUGUUGAGGUGGUG
This is a long non-coding RNA of Scylla paramamosain (green mud crab), 607 nucleotides long. RefSeq lists it as uncharacterized. The record is from RefSeq and is a predicted model, not a curated record. The transcript has 3 exons. NCBI's taxonomy places the organism in Eukaryota, Metazoa, Arthropoda, Malacostraca, Decapoda, Portunidae.